Triticum aestivum (bread wheat) is the source of this 125-nucleotide non-coding RNA. The record is from Rfam. NCBI's taxonomy places the organism in Eukaryota, Viridiplantae, Streptophyta, Magnoliopsida, Poales, Poaceae.
AAUGUACUCCCUCCAUCCGAAAAUACUUGUCGGAGGAAUGGAUGUAUCUAGACACAAUUUAGUUGUAGAUACAUCUAUAUUCAUCCAUUUCUCCGACAAGUAUUUCCGGACGGAGGGAGUACAAA